ACAAGCUGAGAAACGGCUAGUAGGACUAAGGUCUGCAGCAGGCGCGAAACUUACACAAUGCUAGAUUACAAUUAGCGAUGUAGUGAAGAAAAAUAACGAUGUACUUCCAUUUAAACAUGGUAGUAUAAUUGGAAUGAGACGACUAUAAACCAGUUAGUCGAGUAACAAAUGGAGGGCAAGUCUGGUGCCAGCAGCCGCGGUAAUUCCAGCUCCAUUAGCAUACAUUAAAGUCGUUGCGGUUAAAAAGCUCGUAGUUGAAUUUUAGGCGGGCUCUAUUGGGAUGCAACCGUCAAGGCUCUAGCGUUGGCCCUAAAAAGCCUCGCCAGUAGCUGGUUGUAUCGCCCUAUAGGAACCCGCUGUUUCGUCACUUAAUCGAGUGCGAAGCGGGCUGGAACAAGAUUAAGCACUCGUUGUUUAUCUGUUACAGCAUGUUUACCUUGAGAAAAUUAGAGUGCUCACAGCAGGCAGUUGGGGUGUAAAAGCUCCUUUAUGCUUGAAUAAUGUUGCAUGGAAUAAUAGAAUAUGGCCUCGGUUCUAUUCUGUUGGUCUUAUAGAACAACAAACAAGUUGGUUAAAGCGAUCAAAAGUCUAUUUGGGGUGUGGCAUUGUGGAACUUUGCUUGUCGGGUUCGUUUUGACUUUCAGCCGGAUUGUGUUGCGUGGGGCCUAAAAAUCUCAGUGCCGCGUUCGCGUUUGGAAUGUUCAUACAGCUCACAACUAAGACCUCUUCAUUGUCUAUCAAAGCACCCCUUAUAUGGCUAGCUUUCUAAUCAACUGAGGCAAUGGUUAAAAGAAAUAGUCGCGGCGGCAUCAGUACUGCAUCGUGAGAG
This 829-nucleotide ribosomal RNA is filed under the name Epitrimerus sabinae. RNAcentral's name for it is "partial 18S ribosomal RNA". It matches the Rfam family "Eukaryotic small subunit ribosomal RNA", at positions 389 to 910 of the family's 1831-position model. Lineage: Eukaryota; Metazoa; Arthropoda; Arachnida; Trombidiformes; Eriophyidae. The record is from RNAcentral.